RNAcentral lists this long non-coding RNA (1081 nucleotides) under Piliocolobus tephrosceles (Ugandan red Colobus). RNAcentral's name for it is "lncRNA (ENSPTEG00000014394.1)". The record is from RNAcentral. Lineage: Eukaryota; Metazoa; Chordata; Mammalia; Primates; Cercopithecidae.
AAAUAGUAAGCGCUUGGAGUAAUAAAAAAUGACAAGCUGCGUUUUUAAAAACACGAGAAAAAAAAAGUAUAGAGAAAUAAAGAAAAGCAUGGAAAUAAAAAGUAAGGACAUCUUAUAUAGUAAUAAACAAAAUAAACGAAUUUGGUUACAUGGUAAUUACUCUAAUUAUUUUUAUGAGCGAUAUAAAAAAAAAAAAAUAACAUAUGAAGAGGAGAAUAGCGGACGAAGUAAUACUAAGGCUGGUAGUAAUACUGUUAGUAAUGCUGUUAGUAAUGCUGGUAGUAAUGCUGAUAGUAAUGUCAAUAGCGGUGCCAAUAACAAUACCCGUGGUGACGAAAACCAAACUAAAGAAACAAACGAAGUGAAUAAAAAAAGUAUGCACAUAAUUGAUAUAAUAAGUACGAAUGAAACAGAAAUGAUUGAUGACUAUAGAUUAGCACAUGUUAAUAAUUUAAUAAAAAAUAUUUUUAAAAACAAAAUUAUAUUAGAUAUAGGUUGUAAUUGUGGAAUAACAACUUUUUUAUUAAGCUUAAAAUAUAAUUGUAAGAUUGUUAAUGGUAUGGAUAUAGAUGAUUCCAUAAUUGACAAGAAUCUUGGGGUGUUAAGAUUAUUUAUUCAAUUCGUUGUAAUUUAUAAUAAACAAAAACAUAUGAUACCUUUUUUAUUAAACCAAGCAAAAUUGAUACAAAUACAGAGGGACAUAUAUAUGGAUUUGUAUUUUUUAUAUGAACAGUUAAUGUUACAUCAUUCAGGCAUAAAUGAUAAUAAACAUAAUAAUGGAGAUGUAAAAAAGGAAAAAGAUUGUUAUAUAGUUAGUGAUGAUGUUAGCAGGGGUAAUAGUACUUACGAUAUAACCGACAAUGACCAUGACAAAGGAAUUAUUCUUGACCACAUAACUAACAACAACAGUAAAAAUAACAAUAAAAAUAACGAAGCAGACACAAGUGAUAAUAAUGACUGUAGAACUAACAAUGACAAUAACACUACUACUAACAACCGACUAUAUAUAUUCCCUUAUAAUAUAUAUUUCAUUUGUGCAAACAUUUUUGAUAAUAAAUUUCAACAAAUUGAAAAUAAAUAU